This is a long non-coding RNA of Gossypium raimondii (Peruvian cotton), 324 nucleotides long. RefSeq lists it as uncharacterized. Lineage: Eukaryota; Viridiplantae; Streptophyta; Magnoliopsida; Malvales; Malvaceae. The transcript has 2 exons. The record is from RefSeq and is a predicted model, not a curated record.
AUUUGGAAACCUGUUGCAAGAGAAGGACAUUUAGGCUGAUCUAAUCUGUUGCUUGCAGCAUUUGCAGUUAAGAUUUGAAACUGAAGACAAAGCAUGGAGACUUCUAAGUAAUGUGUCAUUUUUGUUGAAACCAAGGGAUUAUUUUUUCGGUAUUACUCCUGAAAAAGUGAUUGCCAAAAACUGCUGUUUCUGAUUUGUGUAUUUUCCUUUUCUUUUUUUUUUGUUCUUGUGGUUAUUGCUGCCCCUGUUUUUGGGAGGUGAUUGUGUAAACAUUUUAGUGUACUUUAGUUAUUGUAAGAAUAUUUUUAACAUUGUUAAUUUUAA